This 465-nucleotide ribosomal RNA is filed under the name Vreelandella stevensii. Its description in RNAcentral is "partial 16S ribosomal RNA". It matches the Rfam family "Bacterial small subunit ribosomal RNA", at positions 338 to 795 of the family's 1533-position model. The record is from RNAcentral. Lineage: Bacteria; Pseudomonadati; Pseudomonadota; Gammaproteobacteria; Oceanospirillales; Halomonadaceae.
CCUACGGGAGGCUGCAGUGGGGAAUAUUGGACAAUGGGGGGAACCCUGAUCCAGCCAUGCCGCGUGUGUGAAGAAGGCCCUCGGGUUGUAAAGCACUUUCAGUGAGGAAGAACGCCUGGUGGUUAAUACCCAUCAGGAAAGACAUCACUCACAGAAGAAGCACCGGCUAACUCCGUGCCAGCAGCCGCGGUAAUACGGAGGGUGCGAUCGUUAAUCGGAAUUACUGGGCGUAAAGCGCGCGUAGGUGGCUUGAUAAGCCGGUUGUGAAAGCCCCGGGCUCAACCUGGGAACGGCAUCCGGAACUGUCAAGCUAGAGUGCAGGAGAGGAAGGUAGAAUUCCCGGUGUAGCGGUGAAAUGCGUAGAGAUCGGGAGGAAUACCAGUGGCGAAGGCGGCCUUCUGGACUGACACUGACACUGAGGUGCGAAAGCGUGGGUAGCAAACAGGAUUAGAUACCCCAGUAGUC